GACGAACGCUGGCGGCGCGCCUAACACAUGCAAGUCGAACGGAGUCUUUUUUGAAAGCUUGCUUUUUGGAAGACUUAGUGGCGGACGGGUGAGUAACACGUGAGCAACCUGCCUUGAAGAGGGGGAUAACGUCUGGAAACGGACGCUAAUACCGCAUGAUAUAACUUGAUGGCAUCAUCUUGUUAUCAAAGGGAGCAAUCCCGCUUUGAGAUGGGCUCGCGCCUGAUUAGGUAGUUGGUAGGGUAACGGCCUACCAAGCCUGCGAUCAGUAGCCGGACUGAGAGGUUGACCGGCCACAUUGGGACUGAGACACGGCCCAGACUCCUACGGGAGGCAGCAGUGGGGGAUAUUGCACAAUGGGGGGAACCCUGAUGCAGCGACGCCGCGUGGGUGAAGACGGACUUCGGUUUGUAAAGCCCUGUUGCAGAGGACGAUAAUGACGGUACUCUGUUAGAAAGCCACGGCUAACUACGUGCCAGCAGCCGCGGUAAUACGUAGGUGGCGAGCGUUGUCCGGAAUUACUGGGUGUAAAGGGAGCGUAGGCGGGAAUGCAAGUCGGAUGUGAAAUGUCCAGGCUUAACUUGGACCGUGCAUCCGAAACUGUGUUUCUUGAGUGGUGUAGAGGCAGGCGGAAUUCCUAGUGUAGCGGUGAAAUGCGUAGAUAUUAGGAGGAACACCAGUGGCGAAGGCGGCCUGCUGGGCACUAACUGACGCUGAGGCUCGAAAGCGUGG
RNAcentral lists this ribosomal RNA (732 nucleotides) under uncultured bacterium. RNAcentral describes it as "bacterial SSU rRNA". It matches the Rfam family "Bacterial small subunit ribosomal RNA", at positions 28 to 764 of the family's 1533-position model. The record is from RNAcentral.